Molecule: long non-coding RNA, 648 nt
Organism: Ictalurus punctatus (channel catfish)
Lineage: Eukaryota; Metazoa; Chordata; Actinopteri; Siluriformes; Ictaluridae
Source: Ensembl
UGAAAGACGACACAGUUGCUGUGUUUUCUCCUUAUCGAUGUACUCUGCCGAUUCCAGGAAGUCAGUCGAUCCAAUAGGAUGCGUCUCAUUUAAUCACGUAUUUUUAGAGGUCGCUGAUUGGCGGCCCAAUUAGUCGCGUCGCAGCCUCUGUUUACCGGAAGUGAUUGAGAUUAGGGGGUGAGAGGAUGGGUGUAGAUUGAGAUUAGGAACAUGAAAUGGAGCUCAGAAGGGAAGGAACUGAAGCUUGGACAGAAAGACAACAAACAACAGCUUCUGUUUGUGGAUUUUAAAUGCUUCUGUUUGUUGAAGGGGAAACCUGUCACAUGGCCAUCAGAUGAAGCUCACUUCCUGCUGCGACUAAAAAUAUCAUCUGCUAUUCUAAGAAGGAAAAAAAAAGCAUGAACAGCGUCCAAACUGUCGGAAAUAAUCAACAUAAAAACAUGUUUUUCCAUCCACUUCCUGUUUAAGAAGUCUUCUUUCAGAUAAGGCUGGCAUUUUUACCCUGAUGACUUUACAGUCCAACCAAGAACUACUCGAGACUAAAGAACGGCUCGUUAAUGAGAUAACCGGGAUUAACCGGAUUAAAGUCUCUGUGUUAGGAAAACUGUUCGAAGGAAGGAAGAGGGAGGAAAGAUGGAUGAGAGAGGA